AUAAGCAACUAUACGGUGAAACUGCGAAUGGCUCAUUAAAUCAGUUAUCGUUUAUUUGAUAGUACCCUACUACAUGGAUAACCGUGGUAAUUCUAGAGCUAAUACAUGCUAAAAACCCCGACUCACGAAGGGGUGUACUUAUUAGAUAAAAAACCAAUGCCCUCCGGGGCUCCUUGGUGAAUCAUAAUAAUUCAACGAAUCGCAUGGCCUUGCGCCGGCGAUGGUUCAUUCAAAUUUCUGCCCUAUCAACUUUCGAUGGUAGGAUAGUGGCCUACCAUGGUUUCAACGGGUAACGGGGAAUUAGGGUUCGACUCCGGAGAGGGAGCCUGAGAAACGGCUACCACAUCCAAGGAAGGCAGCAGGCGCGCAAAUUACCCAAUGCCGACACGGCGAGGUAGUGACAAUAAAUACUGAUACAGGGCUCUUUCGGGUCUUGUAAUUGGAAUGAGUACAAUUUAAAUACCUUAACGAGGAACAAUUGGAGGGCAAGUCUGGUGCCAGCAGCCGCGGUAAUUCCAGCUCCAAUAGCGUAUAUUAAAGUUGUUGCAGUUAAAAAGCUCGUAGUUGAACCUUGGGCCUGGCUGGCCGGUCCGCCUCACCGCGUGCACUGGUCCGGCCGGGCCUUUCCUUCUGGGGAGCCGCAUGGCCUUCACUGGCCGUGUCGGGGAACCAGGACUUUUACUUUGAAAAAAUUAGAGUGUUCAAAGCAGGCCUUUGCUCGGAUACAUUAGCAUGGAAUAAUAGAAUAGGACGCGCGGUUCUAUUUUGUUGGUUUCUAGGACCGCCGUAAUGAUUAAUAGG
RNAcentral lists this ribosomal RNA (801 nucleotides) under uncultured eukaryote. Its description in RNAcentral is "SSU rRNA". It matches the Rfam family "Eukaryotic small subunit ribosomal RNA", at positions 65 to 876 of the family's 1831-position model. The record is from RNAcentral.